AUUGAACGCUGGCGGUAUGCUUAACACAUGCAAGUCGAACGAUGAGAAAGAGCUUGCUCUUUCGAUUAGUGGCGGACGGGUGCGUAACGCGUAGGAAUCUACCUAUUAGUGGGGGACAACUUAGGGAAACUUAAGCUAAUACCGCAUACGCCCUACGGGGGAAAGAAGGGGAUCGCAAGACCUUUUGCUAAUAGAUGAGCCUGCGUAGGAUUAGCUAGUUGGUGGGGUAAAAGCUCACCAAGGCGACGAUCCUUAACUGGUUUGAGAGAAUGAUCGGUCACACUGGAACUGAGACACGGUCCAGACUCCUACGGUAGGCAGCAGUGGGGAAUAUUGGACUAUGGGCGAAAGCCUGAUCCAGCAAUACCGCGUGUGUGAAGAAGGCCUUAGGGUUGUAAAGCACUUUCAAUUGGAAGGAAAACCUCGAAGCUAAUACCUUCGAGUUUGACAUUACCUUUAGAAGAAGCACCGGCUAACUCCGUGCCAGCCGCCGCAGUAA
Molecule: ribosomal RNA, 499 nt
Filed under: uncultured bacterium
Lineage: Bacteria
Description: partial 16S ribosomal RNA
Rfam family: Bacterial small subunit ribosomal RNA
Source: RNAcentral